RNAcentral lists this long non-coding RNA (28508 nucleotides) under Malus domestica (apple). RNAcentral describes it as "long non-coding RNA (MDOM_LNC007211)". The record is from RNAcentral. Lineage: Eukaryota; Viridiplantae; Streptophyta; Magnoliopsida; Rosales; Rosaceae.
AACCUCAUCUGAUUCCAACAAUUUUCGGGGUUAUCGCUACGACGUGUUCUUAAGCUUCAGAGGCGAAGACACUCGCAAGACUUUUACCGACCACCUCUACACAGCCUUGAACAACGCAGGAUUUCUUACGUUCCGAGACGACGAUGAACUUGAGAGAGGAGAAGAUAUAAAGCCAGAACUGCAGAAAGCGAUACAGCAGUCACGAACUUCUGUUGUCGUGUUUUCGAAAGAUUACGCGUCAUCCAGGUGGUGUCUUGAUGAGCUUGUGCUGAUCCUUGAACGCAAGAGGACCACCUCGGACCAUGUAGUUUUACCAGUCUUCUACGAUGUCGAUCCGUCCCACGUGAGGAAGCAGACAGGAAGUGUUGGAAAAGCAUUUGCUAGAAGCCAGAAAAAUCAGUCGUCGGAAAAGGUGGAGGGAUGGAGGAAGGCACUUGCAGAGAUUGCAGACCUAGCAGGCAUGGUCUUAAAAAAUCAAGCUGAUGGGUAACUUUCAUUAUCUCCAUUUCUCUUCUCUUUGUUGGGUCAAUUUGAUGUAUGAUCCGUAGUGACAUAGAUUUUUAUAUAUUUAUUAAUUCAAUCUCAGUAGUGAAUAAUAAUCCCAAUUUAGGUCAACUUAAAGAAAGCACACUCAACUCAACUUAAGGAUUAGUCAUUUUCCAUGUUAAUCUACUGGUUUCCAGGUGCUUAAAUUUUGUUUGAAAGCUGGUGUGGAAAAAAGUUAGGAUGUGAUCUGUUUUGUAUUUGUCUAUAGUUUGUAUAAAUUAUGCGCUGUAUUCUUUUUUUUUUUCAAUUUAAUUUUGUCAGGCAAUCAACAUAUGUUUUAAUUAUCUAAUUUCCCCAAUUCAUUUUUCAUUUUGUUUGCAAAUUCUUAGGUACGAGGCAAAGUUUAUCGAAAAAAUUGUUAAAGUGAUAGAAGACAAGUUAAGUCGUAUGCCAUUGAGUGUUGAACCAAAAUUGAUUGGUAUUCAAUAUCAAGCCGAACGCAUCAAUUUGUGGUUACAAGAUGGAUCAAGUGGUGUUGGUAUAUUUGUUGUGUAUGGCAUGUCUGGAAUCGGGAAGACAACCAUUGCAAAACAUGUUUACAAUUCAAACUUUAGAAGCUUUCAAGGAAGUAGUUUCAUUGAAAAUAUCAAAGAAACAGCAGAUCGACCAAAUGGCUUAGUUCAAAUACAAAUGCAACUUCUUUGUGAUAUUUUGAACGGCAGAGAAGUGAAAAUACACAGUGUUAGUGAGGGAAUAAUUAAGAUUGAAAAGGCCAUAAGCUCUAAAAGAGUUCUACUUGUUCUUGAUGAUGUUGACCAUAUGGACCAAUUAGAUGCAAUCCUAAGGAUGAAAGAUCAGUUUUAUCCUGGAAGUAAGAUACUAAUAACAACUAGGCGUGAAAGGUUGUUAAAGGCUGAUCAAGUUACAGAGGUGCACAGAGUUCAAACUUUGGAUGACAAUGAAUCAUUAAAGCUUUUCAGUUGGCAUGCUUUUGGCCAGGACCAUCCCAUAGAAGAAUACAUGGAGCACUCAAAACAGAUAGUGCAACAUAGUGGCGGACUUCCAUUAGCUCUAAAAGUUUUGGGUUCUUCUUUAUCAGGAGGAAGUAUAGGUGUAUGGGAAAGUGCAUUGGAGAAGCUAAAAGUUAUUCCUGAUGGUGAAAUCAUGAGUAAACUAAGAAUAAGCUAUGAAAGUUUAAAAGAUGACCAUGACCGGAAAUUAUUCCUCCACAUUGCUUGUUUCCUAAUAGGAAGGAACAAAAGCUACAUUGUUAGAAUAUUCGAUGGAUGUGAUUUCUAUACAAUCAUUGGCAUUCAAAAUCUCAUUGAUAGAUGCUUGGUGACACUUGAUGAAUACGGCAAGGUGGAAAUGCAUGACAUGAUUCGUGCUAUGGGAAGAGAAAUUGUUCGCCAAGAAUCAGAAGAGCCUGAGAAACGUAGUAGAUUAUGGCACCAUAAGGAUUCUUUCCAAGUAUUGAGGAAAAAGAAUGUAAGAAACAUGCCUUUUAUGUCUAUAUAUGUAUUUCUUCUUGUGAAAAUUACGCAUAUUAAUGUCUCUUUUUUUUCCUUUAGGGUACAAAAAAAAUCCAAGGUCUUGUCCUGGAUAUGCGUAACCAUCCAGCAAACAGUCCAAUAAACACAAAUGAGAUAGUCUUGGAAACCAAUGCAUUUGCAAGGAUGUGCAAUUUACAACUACUCCAUCUUAGUCAUGUACGACUGGAUGGAUGUUAUGCAGAUUUCCCUACAGGAUUAAGAUGGUUGUGUUGGCUUGAAUUUCCUUUGGAUUCUAUACCAAUUGAUUUUCCUUUGGAGAACGUAAUUGUUCUUGAAAUGCAAUACAGUAGCUUGAGACAAGUAUGCAAAGGAACAAAAGUAUGUUACUCUAUGCAUUUCAAUUCAUUUUCCUUAUUUUGUUAGUUUUUUAUUUGUUGACCAACUCCAUGUGUUAAAAUGAACUACUAUGUUUUCUUUAAUUCGAUGACUAAUUUCUUAUGUUAGAUACUUAUUUCAUUGUUCUUUUUUCUUUUCUUUUUUUCCCUCUGUUUCCACAGUUUCUUCCAUCGUUGAAGAUCCUUGACGUCAGCCAUUCUCAUGGUCUUAGUGAAACCAUUGACUUCUCACGUUCCUCCAAUCUAGAGGAACUAAUUCUUGUAGAUUGCACAAGCCUGGAGAAUGUUCAUGAAUCCAUUGGAAACCUGGAGAGACUCGUGUACUUGAAUAUGAAGGAUUGCAAGAAUCUUAGGAAGCUUCCGAAGAACAUGUGCAAGCUUAAAUCACUUGAAAUACUCAUUUUAUCUGGUUGCUCAAAUCUUGAUGAGGUUCCAGUGGAGAUGAUGAAGAAGAUGGAGUCUCUGAAAGUUCUUGAGACGGAUGGAAUUCCAAUAGGUGAAUUGUGGCCAGAAAGAAGUUCAACUAUCUUGAGUUCUUUUCCGUGCUCUUUGGUAGAGUUAAGUCUGAAGGGGUGCAAUCUUUCUGAUGAUGUCUUUUCUACGGAUUUAAGUGCUCUAUCCUACUUGCGAAGACUACAUUUGGAUGAGAAUCCAAUUUGCAGUCUGCCAGUUUUCAUCAAAGGUUUGAGGAGGAUCGAUGAACUCUCUUUCAAGGGUUGUGAUAGGCUCGAAUCGCUUGUGGGGUUGCCGGAAGUACACCAAAGGCUAAGUAUAAAAGAAUGCAUAUCAUUAAAAAAAAUAACUUUUCAUUCCCCUGGGCAACAUUAUCUAACACGUGUAUUUUGCCAUGACAACCCGAAUCUUGUUGAGUGUGAGUGCUAUUACAAGUUAGAGCCUAUUGAUAGAGUUGAUGUGGAAAUGAUCAAACUUUUGGGCUUGUGCAACUUGGAAUCCAUGCCAGCUGUUCGAAUGCAUCAUCCACUCACAAACUGGGAUCUAAUAGAGGUCCCCGUCCAGGUGCGCCUCUUUUUCUCUCUCUCUCAUAAGUCUUAAAUAUAUAAUGGGAAAGAAAUGACUGAGUAAUGUUGUGAUGACUGUGGCAAAUACAUAGGGACUGUAUCAACAUGGUAUAUUCAGCACCUUUUUUGUUGGGAAUGAGGUUCCAGGCCUGUUCAGCUAUAAAAGUACCAAGUCCUCGAUAUCUUUUAUUGUCCCUUUACUACUUGCUAGUCACAGAAUUCGAGGCUUGAACAUCUUUGCUACCUAUGCAAAGGAAAAUUCAAAUAAUUAUUCUACUAGACCUAAUAUUGGUCCAAUAAUGAUCAAAGUGAGAAACAAGAGUAAGGGUCUGAAGUGGAUCUAUGACCCAUUUUUCUAUGGAAUCCCAAGUGACGGAGAAGAUAUGAUAUGGUUGAGCCAUUGGAAGAUGGAGAAUAAAACAAUAUUACAAUGUGGAGAUGAAGUGGUGGUUUCGGUAAUAACUGGACCACGUGACAUGUUUUGGGUCAAGGAGUUUGGUGUCGAGCUUGUGCAAGAGCACCAAGACAAGAUGAGUACCCAACACAACACCAAAUCUGAUCCUAAUUAUCCAUUUGUUAUUGAUGGAGAUUUGAAGAUGUUUGAGGACAGACCGGGAAAAUACUUCCUUGGCAGUUAUUUUAUAGAAGAAAUUGAUGACAUUGAUAUCCUCACCAUGGACUCUGAUGAAGAAGACACAAGUAUGUUGUGUUGUUGUAUUGCAUUGAAUUAUACUUCAUCCAAACACUUCCAGGUGUGUCCGUAUUCAUUUCAAAAACGUUUCCAAUAAAUUUUAUGUUAUUUGUAUGUUUUUCAGACAAAGAAGGGCAAGAGGAUGAACCUGAUUACACAAUUGCAAAGACGAGGGCUGCUAGCAAUAACUGCAGCCUGAGAGGCUGGAAGGUGCGCCUCACAGCUGUCGGCUUCUUUUUCGCGCUUGCUCUAGUAGGUUGGUCCUCCAUCUCCCAAAAAAAGAAGCGACAAUCGUCCACAAGCCCACCAUGAGUUUGUAAUUUGACUUCAAAUGUGCUUGCUCUAGUAGCUAAGCACUCUUAACCGCUUGAGAUAUAAAAGCCCAUUGCAACUAGAUACUGAACUUCAAAUGUGUUCAACGCCAUCAAAUAUAGCAUAAAAUACAUCCAGCAUUAGGUUCCAAGCCCACUAUUGAAAAUCAUGUUCAUCCACUCUACACAUCCAAGGCAGCAAACUAACUAGGAUACCAGGUUGGGAGGAUACAAUCAUUAACAAUUUCAAAAGCUAUAAAUGCAAUCCGAAUACAUGGCAAGUAGGGGUAAGCAUGUGAACAAAAAAAUCAGUGAACAUAAUCAAAUCCAAUACGUCAAUUUUGGCCUAGAUUGAAAUGAAAAAAACAAGGAAAUGCUUUGUGUAUCGAUUUGUUUAUGAAGGAAAUAAAACAUAUUUCAUGGAAAGAAAACCUGUGGUUACCUUUGUCUUCCUCUGCCAUUUGUCUAUCGAUUUGUUUCUGAAAGUGGCUAUUCUACAAGAUACAACAUGACAGGUCUUAGUUAGACCAAGUAAACGGCAUGGAAAUGCUUUCUGAAGCAAGAAUGUGUACUCAAGAGCUUUGUGCCAGAGAGGUCGUCGUACCCAGUGCACAAGGCUCCCGCUUUACGCAGGGUCUGGGAGAGGUGAAUGUCGGCUAGCCUUACCCCUAUUUAUGGAGAGGACUUAAGAAAAAUGAAAAAAACAAUAUAGAAUAUGGGUAAGAAUAAAUUUCGAUUAGACAAUAAUUCACUGUAUAAAUCGUUUUUUCAACUUUAAAGUGUGGCUUAAAAAGAAGCUUUAAACAAGUAGCAAUAAUUUCAUAUUGAAAAAUAAAACCUAUUUCAUGGAUAUUACAAGAGCCAUUAUUUUGAAAAACACACCUUUUGGUUCUUCACCACUUGACUUUUAAGAAGAUCUUCGUCCUUGUGACGAUUCAAAUUCUUUAAAAUAUCUCUACGACGGAAUAAACAAAACCAAUCUAGGCCAAAAUUGACUUGUUCGAUUUGAUUAUGUUCACUGAUUUUUCUGUUCACAUGUUUACCCCUACUUGCCAUAUAGUUUUGGGGUGUUAGUGCAUAGUGCUCUUCUCUUUACACACCAGUUUCAAUUUUAUUCUUCGUAAAUUAAGAGACCGUUUGAUAAUCAUUUCGUUUUCAAUUUAAAAAAUAUAAAAAACUAAAUGAAGUUUUCAACUAGAAUUUUCGCUUUUGGUUUUCAAUUUUAAUUUUUUUUAAAACAACUGAAAACUAAAAAUAGUUGCAAAAAGAAUUUUUCAUUUUUUUUUAAUUUAUAAAAAAGUAAAAACUGAAAACUCUAAACUAUAGACUAAAAAUUAAAAAGUGAAAUCGAAAUGGGCUCUCAACAAAAUUGAAAAAAGACUGGGCUGAAUUACUGAAUUCAAAGCAGGGCUUAUUAACGUUACGAGGCCCAAUGGAUCUGGAUAAAUAUUUUUCAUUUUUUUUUAACAAACGAUAUUAUUUAUAUAGGCUUAAUUUUACAGUGGGCUAACAAUAAUGUGGUUCAAAUUUGCUUUUCGCAAGAAUAGAACCUAAAACUUCUCACUUAUAAAUGAAGAGGAAUACCACUAAACCGUAGUCCUGAUAGAUUCGUUAUUUUAUUUUAUAUUUUAAGAAAAAAGAAAGAAAGCAAUGAAAAGCUGUACAUAAAAUAAAUACAAAAAGGAAUGAAAUGAAGAAGAGUGGGAGACUAAUGUUUAAUUCAAGAUAAAGAAAGAAAGCUGAUCGCACCACGACGGCGGCGACGUGGCGGUCAUUUAACGGAAAAUAACAGACAAAUCAGCCUCCAGAUCAAAUCUUGAAGCACAACUCUGAAAAAUCGAGACUACCAACAGCUGAGCUCCGACCAACCGUUGAUGGAUGCAAUCAGGAAGCUCAGAGAUCAGGUCGCCAAGCAACAGCAGGUACUCCCUCUCGUUUGAUUCCGAAUUUGUAUUUCUGUAUGGAUUUUGAUAUGAACAUAAUCUGCGUUGAUUGCGAGAUACUGAGAUUGCUUAAUGAAAUAAUAUUUAUAUAAUUGUUCGAGUUGAAUUGGAUCGAUUCGAAUUCAAAUAGAAUGUCACUAUUUCUGAGCUGUUUGGGGAUGUGUUGGAGUGCAAUGUUGAUGAAUUUCUGAAAUUUUGAGCUAGGUGUUGCUAAUUACUUAUCGAUUUUUGAUGUAAUUGGAUGCUUAAUUUUUACAUUUUCGGAAAACUUCAAACGAAAAUGGCAUAUAAUUCAACGUUCUAUGCUUCAUUAAUGCAUAAGAGUUGGUCGAAGCUUGAUCGAGUUUGCUUUUGGUUAUUUUGUGAACACCGUCAGGCUGUGUUCAAACAAUUUUCUGGUGGCAUAUAUGGGGGAUCGGAUAAUGUUGCCUCGGAUGAAAAUGAAUUUCAACAGCAUCAGAAACUCGAGAAGCUGUACAUAUCAACUCGUGCUGCCAAGGUUGCUACGCUUAUUUUUGUCUGUGCUUUAAACGAGCAUCACGUUAGUUGUGUUACCUAUCGUUUUUUUGCUUCAUCUUUAACAGCAUUACCAAAAGGAAAUUGUCCGCGGAGUGGAAGGUUACAUUGUGGCCGGUUCAAAGCACGUUGAAAUAGGUAUGUUGCUUGAAAUGCGUUGUCUUUUCUUUGGAGUUUGGAUAUGAAUUCAUGCUGGUUUUAUCAGUUGGUAUACAUAAUAUUUUUUCAACAGGUACCAAGCUAUCAGAAGAUAGCAGGAAAUAUGGUUCUGAAAAGACUUGCACCAGUGAUAACACAUUGUCGAGAGCUGCACUUAGUUUUGGAUGAGGUGGGGCCCAAAUGGAAAAAGAGUGCGGAGUUCUACUUAAAGCCCUUGGCACACAGGUUUAAGUCAAAUUAUUACUAACAGAGGCUAUUAAGUAAAAAUCAAAUAUUGCCAGGGCCGGCUUCAUACAAAUGGAAUUUCAACUGACUAAUUUUCGUGUGCAUUUGAUCAUUUCGAAAGAAAUUUACAGCAAAAAUUGUUUUCAUUUCCACGUCGUGGUUCAAGAAUUGGACUACUUUUUGUGUUUCUAUGCAUCGUAUGACAAACUGGCUCACCAUUUCUUUCUAUAGGUUUGCAUAAUAACUCUUUGUGUGCUUAUCAAUUUGCCUGUGUAGGUUGCAUAGCCUUUAUAGUGGGAGCGCCCAUGGAGGAUGCUCGACAUCUUGCUCAACGUUAUGCUAGAAUGCGGCAAGAAGCUGAAGCUCAGGUAUAUGCAGUUUCUUCUGUUUCCUACCAAUUUUAUUCUACAGUGAUUUUAUAUCCAAAACAAGCAUUGACUUGGCUGUCCAUCCAUCAAUAGCAGGUCCACAUCUCAACCCAAAUAUAAUGACGUCAAAGGAGAGGGGAAAAUGAGAAGGAAACUCUGGAGGGUAGAGGGAAGGAAAAGGGGAAAAGGAGAAAGGGAGAAGGGAAAAGUAGAACGGGAAGGAGGAAAAUGAGAGGAAAUUUCGGAGAAUAGAGAAAGGGAGAAGGGAAAAGAAGAAAAGCAGAAAAGAAGGGAAAAGGGGAAGGAAGCUUAGGAGGCUAGAGAAAAAGAUGGAAAUGCAUAAAAAUAAAAAAAUAAAAAAGGAAAGUCGCCUUCAUCAUUAUGUCUACUAACGGAAAGGAGCAACCACAUUGUAAAUUAUAUUUUGUAUAAUGAGAAACCAGUAUUCCUACCCUGAGGGUAUAGACACAACUUGCUGAAUCUCGUUACUAUACAGCAAGUUUAUAAUUGCACAAUAAUUCGAUCAAUCAUCUUAAGUUCAACCAUACAUGUAACAAGAUUUAAGUUUUUCCAAACUUUCCUUAUGAAGGUAACUGAACAUUACAAGUGUCACGUUAUUAUGCGAUUCUAUCAAGUUUUAAUUUUUGUCUCAUAACCACAUUACAAGUGCCACGUUAUUUAUUUUAUCCUUUAUUUUAUCUUUAUUAUUAAAACUUAAAAUUUUCAUAUUUUUUUAUUAAUUUUUUUUUAUAAAAUCACACGUAAAACAAGAAGUAAUCUUUUCUUUUUCUUUUCAUCUCUGCCACUAGCGGCCGACCAUGACUUAAAGAAACGCUUUUUGGAUGGGUCAAUGUAUGGGAACGACCCAUUUUAUAUGUUACAUGGUUGUGCAAUUAAAAGUGCAUUUUAUCAUAAAAAUGUGAGCAACGAUCAAUAUAAUUGUUAUUUAUAAAAUCACACAAAACACAAGAAGGAAUCUUUUCUUUUUCUUUUUCAUCUCUGCCACUACCAGCCGACCAUGACUUAAAAGAAACGCUUUUUGGUUCAAUGGAUGGGAACGACCUAUUUUAUAAUAAGAAAAAUUAAUUAAAAAAAUUUAAAAAUUUUAAGUUUUAAUAAUAAAAAGAUGUUGUAAAUAAAUAGUACAUAAUUGAUUUUUUUAGUAAAAGUAUAAUUUUUUAUUAAAAUUUCGUUCAAAUCCCCUUUAUAAUAUUGUUUGUAAAUUUUUCUGGAAGUAGAUGGAAAUGACCCAAUUACAUAUUUCCCCUGCUCACAGACAUUUUCAUUGCACCUAGAAAACCAGUUUUUUGUUAGAAAAUCGAUCCACAUCAAUGGCUCUUGUGAGAACAUCUCCAGGAACCUCCUCUGAUUCCAACACUUUUCGGAGUUAUCGCUACGACGUGUUCUUGAGCUUCAGAGGCGAAGAUACUCGCAAGACUUUUACCGACCACCUCUACACAGCCUUGAACAACGCAGGAUUUCUUACGUUCCGAGACGACGAUGAACUUGAGAGAGGAGAAGAUAUAAAGCCAGGACUGCAGAAAGCGAUCCAGCAGUCACGAACUUCUGUUGUCGUGUUUUCGAAAGAUUACGCUUCAUCCAGUUGGUGUCUUGAUGAGCUUGUGCUGAUCCUUGAACGCAAGAGGACCACCUCGGACCAUGUAGUUUUACCAGUCUUCUACGAUGUCGAUCCGUCCCACGUGAGGAAGCAGACAGGAAGUGUUGGAAAAGCAUUUGCUAGAAGCCAGAAAAAUCAGUCGCCGGAAAAGGUGCAGGGAUGGAGGAAGGCACUUGCAGAGAUUGCAGACCUAGCAGGCAUGGUCUUACAAAAUCAAGCUGAUGGGUAACUUUCAUUAUCUCCAUUUCUCAUCUUUCCUGGGUGAAUUUGAUGUAUGAUCCGUAAUGACCUAGAUUUUUAUAUGUUUAUUAAUUCAAUCUCAGUAGUGAAUAAUAAUCUCAAUUUAGGUCAACUUAAAGAAAUCACACUCAACUCAACUUAAGGAUUAGUCAUUUUCCAUGUUAAUCUACUGGUUUCCAGUUGCUUAAAUUUUUUUGAAAGCUGGUGUGGAAAAAGGUUAGGAUGUGAUCUGUCUAUAGUUCGUGUAAAUUAUGCGCUGUAUUCCUUUUUUUUUUCAAUUUAAUUUUGUCAGCAGUCCUCUUUUUUUUUUCUUAUUUAAAAAGGCAAUCAACAUAUGUUUUAAUUAUCUAAUUUCCCCAAUUCAUUUUUCAUUUUGUUUGCAAAUUCUUAGGUACGAGUCAAAGUUUAUCAAAAAAAUUGUUGAAGUGAUAGGAGACAAGUUAUGUCGUACGUCGUUGAGUGUUGAACCAAAAUUGAUUGGAAUUCAAUCUCAAGCCGAACGCAUCAAUUUGUGGUUACAAGAUGGAUCAAGUCAUGUUGGUAUAUUUGUUGUGUAUGGCAUGUCUGGAAUAGGGAAGACAACCAUUGCAAAACAUGUUUACAAUUCAAACUUUGGAAGCUUUCAAGGAAGUAGUUUCAUUGAAAAUAUCAAAGAAACAGCAGAUCGACCAAAUGGCUUAGUUCAAAUACAAAUGCAACUUCUUUGUGAUAUUUUGAACGGCAGAGAAGUGAAAAUACACAGUGUUAGUGAGGGAAUAAUUAAGAUUGAAAGGGCCAUAAGCACUAGAAGAGUUCUACUUGUUCUUGAUGAUGUUGACCAAAUGGACUAAUUCGAUGCAAUCCUAAGGAUGAAGGAUCAGUUUUAUCCUGGAAGUAAGAUACUAAUAACAACUAGGCGUGAAAGGCUGCUAAAGGCAGAUCAAGUUACAGAGGUGCACAGAGUUCAAACUUUGGAUUACAAUGAAUCAUUAAAGCUUUUCAGUUGGCAUGCUUUUGGCCAGGACCAUCCCAUAGAAGAAUACAUGGAGCACUCAAAACAGCUAGUGCAACAUAGCGACGGACUUCCAUUAGCUCUAAAAGUUUUGGGUUCUUCUUUAUCAGGGGAAAGUAUAGGUGUAUGGGAAAGUGCAUUGGAGAAGCUAAAAGUUAUUCCUGAUGGUGAAAUCAUAAACAAACUAAGAAUAAGCUAUGAAAGUUUAAAAGAUGACCAUGACCGGAAAUUAUUCCUCCACAUUGCUUGUUUCCUAAUAGGAAGGAACAAAACCUACAUUGUUAGAAUAUUCGAUGGAUGUGAUUUCUAUACAAUCAUUGGCAUUCAAAAUCUCAUUGAUAGAUGCUUGGUGACAUUUGAUGAACACGGCAAGGUGAAAAUGCAUGACAUGAUUCGUGCUAUGGGAAGAGAAAUUGUUCGCCAAGAAUCAGAAGAGCUUGAGGAACGUAGUAGAUUAUGGCGCCAUAAGGAUUCUUUCCAAGUAUUGAGGAAAAAGAAUGUAAGAAACAUGCCUUUUAUGUCUAUAUAUGUCUUUCUUCUUGUGAAAAUUAUGCAUAUUAAUGUCUUUUUUUUUUCCUUUAGGGUACAAAAAAAAUCCAAGGUCUUGUCCUGGAUAUGCGUAAUCAUUCUGCAAACAGUCCAAUAAACACAAAUGAGAUAGUCUUGGAAACCAAUGCAUUUGCAAGGAUGUGCAAUUUACAACUACUCCAUCUUAGUCAUGUACGACUGGAUGGAUGUUAUGCAGAUUUCCCUACAGGAUUAAGAUGGUUGUGUUGGCUUGAAUUUCCUUUGGAUUCUAUACCAAUUGAUUUUCCUUUGGAGAACGUAAUUGUUCUGGAAAUGCAAUACAGUAGCUUGAGACAAGUAUGCAAAGGAACAAAAGUAUGUUACUCUAUGCAUUUCAAUUCAUUUUCCUUAUUUUGUUAGUUUUUUAUUUGUUGACUAACUUCGUGUGUUAAAAUGAACUACUAUGUUUUCUUUAAUUCAAUGACUAAUUUCUUAUAUUAGAUACUUAUUUCAUUGUUAUUUUUUCUUCUUUUUUUUCCCUCUGUUUCCACAGUUUCUUCCAUCGUUGAAGAUCCUUGACGUCAGCCAUUCUCAUGGCCUUAGUGAAACCAUUGACUUCUCACUUUUCCCCAAUCUAGAGGAACUGAUUCUUGUAGAUUGCACAAGCCUGAAGAAUGUUCAUGAAUCCAUUGGAAGCUUGGAGAGACUCGUGUACUUGAAUAUAAAGGAUUGCAAGAAUCUUAGGAAGCUUCCGAAGAACAUGUGCAUGCUUAAGGCCCCGUUUGGGAUUGAGGUGAUUUUAAAAAAAGCCACUGUCAAAAAAAGCUGAGGAUCAUUUUUGUGUUUGGUAAACUGAAAAAAAAGGGCUUAUUUUGGAAGCUGCUGUGAGAAUAAGCUGAAAAUCAAAGAAAAAGCUGAAGCUGCUAUUUGCUGCUUUGAAAAAAAGCCAGUUUUUUCAAAGCACACGGAGCUACAGUGCUCCUUUAAUGAAAAGACACACUAUCAUCCUGCUUUUUUUUCCAAAAGCACUUUCACAAAAAAGUUUACCAAACACUCUACUGGCUUUAUUUCACAGCCGCUUAUUCUCACAGCACAGCUGCUUAUUCUUACAGCAGCUUUUUUUCAAAGCACAGCAAUACCAAACCAGCCCUAAAUCACUUGAACACUCAUUUUAUCUGGUUGCUCAAAUCUUGAUGAGUUUCCAAUGGAGAUGAUGAAGAUGGAGUCUCUGAAAGUUCUUGAGACAGAUGGACUUCCAAUAGGUAAAUUGUGGCCAGAAAGAAGUUCAACUAUCUUGAGUUCUUUUCCAUGCUCUUUAGUAGAGUUAAGUCUGAAGGGGUGCAAUCUUUCUGAUGAUGUCCUUCCUACGGAUUUAAGUAAUCUAUCCAAUUUGCAGUCUGCCAGUUUUCAUCAAAGGUUUGAGGAAGAUCGAUGAACUCUCUUUCAAGGGUUGUGAUAGGCUCGAAUCGCUUGUGGGGUUGCCGGAAGUACACCAAUGGCUAAGUAUAGCCGGAUGCAUAUCAUUAAAAAAAAUAACUUUUCAUUCCCCUGAGCAACCGUAUCUAGUACGUGGGGGUGACAACUCGAAUAACUGUAAUUGCUGUUACAAGUUACAGCCUUUUGAUAGAGUUGAUGUGAAAAUGAUCAAACUUAUGGGCUUGUGCAACUUUGAAUCCAUGCCAGCUGUUCAAAUGCGUAAUUCAUACACAUACAGGGAUCCAAAAGAGGUCCCCGUCCAGGUGCGCCUCUCUUUCUCUCUCUCAUAAGUCUUAAAUAUAUAAUGGGAAAGAAAUUACUGAGUAAUGUUGUGAUGACUGUGGCAAAUACAUAGGGACUGUAUCAAUUUGGUGUAUUCAGCACUUUUUUUGUUGGGAAUGAGGUUCCAGGCCGGUUCAGCUAUAAAAGUACGAAGUAUUCGAUAUCUUUUAUUGUCCCUUUACUACUUGCUAGUCACAGAAUUCGAGGCUUGAACAUCUUUGCUACCUAUGCAAAGGAAAAUUCAAAUAAUUAUUCUACUGGACCUAUUAUUGUUCCAAUAAUGAUCAAAGUGAGAAACAAGAGCAAGGGUUUGAAGUGGAUCUAUUGCCCAUUAUCCUAUGGAAUCCCAGGUGACGGAGAAGAUAUGAUAUGGUUGAGCCAUUGGAAGAUGGAGAAUAAUACAAUAUUACAAUGUGGAGAUGAAGUGGUGGUUUCGGUAAUAACCGGACCACGUGACUUGUUUUUGGUAAAGGAGUUUGGUGUCGAGCUUGUGCAAGAGCACCAAGACAAGAUGAGUACCCAACACAACACCAAAUCAGAUCCUAAUUAUCCAUUUGUUAUCGGUGGAGAUUUGAAGACGUGGAAGUGCAAACCAGGAAUAUACUUCCUUAGCUGUAGGAGACGAGAAGAUACUGACGACAUUGAUAUCCUCACCAUGGACUCUGAUGAAGAAGACACAAGUAUGUUGUGUUGUUGUAUAGCAUUGAAUUAUACUCCAUCCAAACACUUCCGGGUGUGUCCGUAUUCAUUUCAAAAACAUUUCCAAUAAAUUUUAUGUUAUUUGUAUGUUUUUCAGACAAAGAAGGGCAAGAGGAUGAACCUGAUUACACAAUUGCAAAGACGAUGGCAGCUAGCAAUAACUGCAGCCUAAGAGGAUGGAAGGUGCGCCUCACAGCUGUCGGCUUCUUUUUCGCGCUUGCUCUAGUUGGUUGGUCCUCCAUCUCGCAAAAAAAGAAGCGACACUCGUCCACAAGCCCACCAUGAGUUUGUAAUUUGACUUGAUAUAGAUAUAUCUUUGCAUUCCUUGCUCUCAAGAUGUUUUCUACCUUCGAAACUUCAAGUUUAGAGCUAAGCACUUUAACCGCUUGAGAUAUAAAAGCCCCUUGCAACUAGAUACCGAAGUUCAAAUGUGUUCAACGCCAUCAAAUAUAGCAUAAAAUACAUCCAGCAUUAGCGAUACUAGCAUAGUAGCAGUAAAUAAGUAAAACCAAAAAAUGCUUCCACACAUGGUAAGGGAAGGACUUUACAUAGGAAUCUUUAGCAAUAACGGGCAAGAUUUUUUUGUUUUUGGGAGGAGGUGGAUUAUUUCGGCACCGGGGAAAACAAAAACAUCCCAUCUUAGUUGUCGUUUACAACAAAAUCAUUCUUAAAGACUCGGCUCCCCAUUGAAAUUGUGUAAAUUGCAUAAAUAUCAAUACAACAGAUAUUAAAUAGAAUAAUAUAUAUCAAAUAAAUUAACGACAAGCAAUUUCUUAGCCUGAGAUCCAAGGACUUUACAGCUGGUUCAGCCUUGCAUUCGCUACUACAUUACAGAAGCUGGUUUCUGCUUCUUCAACCUGAACAAAUUAUUGAGGUCAGGAAGUAUAAGAGGAACGACCAUAGUCUCUGGAGCCAUGAAAUUUACUAUCUUCUUUUGGGCAUUGUACCUGCAAAAGCAUAAUGCAAUAAGCAUUCAACAAUCUGACCUAGUUUUCUCAACAGAUACUCCAAGAUAUUCCAAAACAAAGUCACAGCAAUUUCACAUAGGGAACCGAAGAAUCAUGUUCGUCCACUCUACACAUCCAAAGCAGCAAACUAACAAUUUCACAUAGGAUACCAGGUUGGGAGGAUACAAUCAUUAACAAUUUCAAAAGCUUUAAAUGCAAUCUGAAUACAUGGCAAGUAGGGGUAAACAUGUGAACAGAAAAAAUCAGUGAACAUAAUCAAAUCCAAUACGUCAAUUUUGGCCUAGAUUGAAAUGAAAAAAAAACAAGGAAAUGCUUUGUUGUUUUUGAAGGAAAUAAAACCUAUUUCAUGGAAAUAAAACCUGUGGUUACCUUUGUCUUCCUUUGCCAUUUGUCUAUCGAUUUGUUUCUGAAAGUGGCUAUUCUACAAGAUACAGCAUGACAGGUCCUAGUUAGACCAAGCAACCGGCAUGGAAAUGCUUUCUGAAGCAAGAAUCUGAACUCAAGAGCUUUGUGCCAGAGAGACUUCAGAAAAAUGAAAAAAAACAACAUAGAAUAUGGGUAAGAAUAAACAUCGAUCAAACAAUAAUUCACUGUAUAAAACAUUUUUUCAACUUUAAAGUGUGGCUUAAAAAGAAGCUUUAAACAAGUAGCAAUAAUUUCAUAUUGAAAAAUAAAACCUGGAUAUUACAAGAGCCAUUAUUUUGAAAGACACACCUUUUGGUUCUUCACUACUUGACUUUUAAGAAGAUCUUCGUCCUUGUCACGAUUCAGAUUCUUUAAAAUAUCUCUGCGAUGGAAUAAACAAAACCAAUCUAGGCCAAAAUUGACUUAUUCGAUUUGAUUAUGUUCACUGAUUUUUCUAUUCACAUGUUUACCCCUUACUUGCCAUAUGGUUUUGGGGUGUUAGUGCAUAGUGCUCUUCUCUUUACACACCUGUUUCAUUUGUAUUCGUUGUAAAUUAAGAGACCGUUUGAUAAUCAUUUCGUUUUCAAUUUAAAAAAUAUAAAAAACUAAAUAAAGUUUUCUAAAUUUGACCUAGAAUUUUUCGCUUUUGGUUUUUAAUUUUUUUUUUUAACAACUGAAAACUAAAAAUAGUUACAAAUUUUUUUUUCAGUUUUUAAUUUACAAAAAAGUAAAAACUGAAAACUCUAAACUAUAGACUAAAAAUUAAAAAGUGAAAUCGAAAUGGGCUCUCAACAAAAUUGAAAAAAGACUGGGCUGAAUUACUGAAUUCAAAGCAGGGCUUAUUAACGCUACGAGGCCCAAUGGAUCUGUAUAAAUAUUUUUUGUUUUUUUUUAACAAACGAUAUUAUCUAUAUGGGCUUAACCUUACAAUAGGCUAACAAUAAUGUGGUUCAAAUUUAUUUUUGACGAGAAUCGAACCUAAAACUUCUCGCUUACAAAUGAAGAGGAAUACCACUAAAUCAUAGUCCUGAUAUUUUAUUUAAUAUUUUAAGAAAAAAGAAAGAAAGCAAUGAAAAGCUGUACAUAAACUAAAUACAAAAAGGAAUGAAAUGAAGAAGAGUGGGAGACUAACGUUUAAUUCAAGAUAAAGAAAGAAAGGUAAUCGCACCCCGACGGCGGCGACGUGGCGGUCAUUUAACGGAAAAUAACAGACAAAUCAGCCUCCAGAUCAAGUCUUGAAGCACAACUCUGAAAAAUCGACACUACCUACAGCUGAGCUCCGACCAACCGUUGAUGGAUGCAAUCCGGAAGCUCAGAGAUCAAGUCGCCAAGCAACAGCAGGUACUCUCUCUCUUGUUUGAUUCCGAAUUUGUAUUUCUGUAUGGAUUAUGAUAUGAACAUAAUCUGCGUUGAUUGCGAGAUACUAAGAUUGCUUAAUGAAAUAAUAUUUAUAUAAUUGUUCAAAUUGAAUUGGAUCGAAUUCGAAUAGAUUUUUCACUAUUUCUGAGCUGUUUGGGGCUGUGUUGGAGUGUAUUGUUGCUGAAUUUCUGAAAUUUUGAAUCUAGCAAACACCAGUUCUUUUUGUUUGAACAUCGAUCCACAUCAAUGGCUCUUGUGAGAACAUCUCCAGGAACCUCCUCUGAUUCCAACACUUUUCGGAGUUAUCGCUACGACGUGUUCUUGAGCUUCAGAGGCGAAGAUACUCGCAAGACUUUUACCGACCACCUCUACACAGCCUUGAACAACGCAGGAUUUCUUACGUUCCGAGACGACGAUGAACUUGAGAGAGGGGAAGAUAUAAAGCCAGGACUGCAGAAAGCGAUCCAGCAGUCACGAACUUCUGUUGUCGUGUUUUCGAAAGAUUACGCUUCAUCCAAGUGGUGUCUUGAUGAGCUUGUGCUGAUCCUUGAACGCAAGAGGACCACCUCGGACCAUGUAGUUUUACCAGUCUUCUACGAUGUCGAUCCGUCCCACGUGAGGAAGCAGACAGGAAGUGUUGGAAAAGCAUUUGCUAGAAGCCAGAAAAAUCAGUCGCCGGAAAAGGUGGAGGGAUGGAGGAAGGCACUUGCAGAGAUUGCAGACCUAGCAGGCAUGGUCUUACAAAAUCAAGCUGAUGGGUAACCUUCAUUAUCUCCAUUUCUCUUCUCUUUGUUGGGUCAAUUUGAUGUAUGAUCCGUAGUGACAUAGAUUUUUAUAUAUUUAUUAAUUCAAUCUCAGUAGUGAAUAAUAAUCCCAAUUCAGGUCAACUUAAAGAAAGCACACUCAACUCAACUUAAGGAUUAGUCAUUUUCCAUGUUAAUCUACUGGUUUCCAGUUGCUUAAAUUUUUUUUGAAAGCUGGUGUGGAAAAAAGUUAGGAUGUGAUCUGUUUUGUAUUUGUCUAUAGUUUGUAUAGAUUAUGCGCUGUAUUCCUUUUUUUUUCAAUUUAAUUUUGUCAGGCAAUCAACAUAUGUUUUAAUUAUCUAAUUUCCCCAAUUCAUUUUUCAUUUUGUUUGCAAAUUCUUAGGUACGAGGCAAAGUUUAUCGAAAAAAUUGUUAAAGUGAUAGAAGACAAGUUAAGUCGUAUGCCAUUGAGUGUUGAACCAAAAUUGAUUGGUAUUCAAUAUCAAGCCGAACGCAUCAAUUUGUGGUUACAAGAUGGAUCAAGUGGUGUUGGUAUAUUUGUUGUGUAUGGCAUGUCUGGAAUCGGGAAGACAACCAUUGCAAAACAUGUUUACAAUUCAAACUUUAGAAGCUUUCAAGGAAGUAGUUUCAUUGAAAAUAUCAAAGAAACAGCAGAUCGACCAAAUGGCUUAGUUCAAAUACAAAUGCAACUUCUUUGUGAUAUUUUGAACGGCAGAGAAGUGAAAAUACACAGUGUUAGUGAGGGAAUAAUUAAGAUUGAAAGGGCCAUAAGCUCUAGAAGAGUUCUACUUGUUCUUGAUGAUGUUGACCAUAUGGACCAAUUAGAUGCAAUCCUAAGGAUGAAAGAUCAGUUUUAUCCGGGAAGUAAGAUACUAAUAACAACUAGGCGUGAAAGGUUGCUAAAGGCAGAUCAAGUUACAGAGGUGCACAGAGUUCGGACUUUGUAUUACAAUGAAUCAUUAAAGCUUUUCAGUUGGCAUGCUUUUGGCCAGGACCAUCCCAUAGAAGAAUACAUGGAGCACUCAAAACAGCUUGUGCAACAUAGCGACGGACUUCCAUUAGCUCUAAAAGUUUUGGGUUCUUCUUUAUCAGGGGAAAGUAUAGGUGUAUGGGAAAGUGCAUUGGAGAAGCUAAAAGUUAUUCCUGAUGGUGAAAUCAUGAAUAAACUAAGAAUAAGCUAUGAAAGUUUAAAAGAUGACCAUGAUCGGAAAUUAUUCCUCCACAUUGCUUGUUUCCUAAUAGGAAGGAACAAAAGCUACAUUGUUAGAAUACUCGAUGGAUGUGAUUUCUAUACAAUCAUUGGCAUUCAAACUCUCAUUGAUAGAUGCUUGGUGACACUUGAUGAACACGGCAAGGUGAAAAUGCAUGACAUGAUUCGUGCUAUGGGAAGAGAAAUUGUUCGCCAAGAAUCAGAAGAGCUUGAGGAACGGAGUAGAUUAUGGCGCCAUAAGGAUUCUUUCCAAGUAUUGAGGAAAAAGAAUGUAAGAAACAUGCCUUUUAUGUCUAUAUAUGUAUUCCUUCUUGUGAAAAUUAUGCAUAUUAAUGUCUUUUUUUUUCCUUUAGGGUACAAAAAAAAUCCAAGGUCUUGUCCUGGAUAUGCGUAAUCAUCCUGCAAACAGUCCAAUAAACACAAAUGAGAUAGUCUUGGAAACCAAUGCAUUUGCAAGGAUGUGUAAUUUACAACUACUCCAUCUUAGUCAUGUACGACUGGAUGGAUGUUAUGCAGAUUUCCCUACAGGAUUAAGAUGGGUGUGUUGGCUUGAAUAUCCUUUGGAUUCUAUACCAAUUGAUUUUCCUUUGGAGAACGUAAUUGUUCUUGAAAUGCAAUACAGUAGCUUGAGACAAGUAUGCAAAGGAACAAAAGUAUGUUACUCUAUGCAUUUCAAUUCAUUUUCCUUAUUGUGUUAGUUUCUUAUUUGUUGACUAACUCCAUGUGUUAAAAUGAACUACUAUGUUUUCUUUAAUUCGAUGACUAAUUUCUUAUGUUAGAUACUUAUUUCAUUGUUCUUUUUUCUUUUCUUUUUUUCCCUCUGUUUCCACAGUUUCUUCCAUCGUUGAAGAUCCUUGACGUCAGCCAUUCUCAUGGCCUUAGUGAAACCAUUGACUUCUCACUUUUCCCCAAUCUAGAGGAACUGAUUCUUGUAGAUUGCACAAGCCUGAAGAAUGUUCAUGAAUCCAUUGGAAACCUAGAGCGACUCGUGUACUUGAAUAUGAAGGAUUGCAAGAAUCUUAGGAAGCUUCCGAAGAACAUGUGCAUGCUUAAAUCACUUGAAACGCUCAUUUUAUCUGGUUGCUCAAAUCUUGAUGAGUUUCCCUUGGAGAUGAUGAAGAAGAUGGAGUCUCUGAAAGUUCUUGAGACAGAUGGAAUUCCAAUAAGUGAAUUGUGGCCAGAAAGAAGUUCAACUAUCUUGAGUUCUUUUCCACGCUCUUUAGUAGAGUUAAGUCUGAAGGGAUGCAAUCUUUCUGAUGAUGUCUUUCCUACGGAUUUAAGUAAUUUAUCCUACUUGCGAGGACUACAUUUAGAUGAGAAUCCAAUUUGCAGUCUGCCAGUUUUCAUCAAAGGUUUGAGGAGGAUCGAUAAACUCUCUUUCAAGGGUUGUGAUAGGCUUGAAUCGCUUGUGGGGUUGCCGGAAGUACACCAAAUAAUGAGUAUAGUCAGAUGCAUAUCAUUAAAAAAAUAACUUUUCAUUCCCCUGGGCAACAUCAUCUAUCACGUGUAAUUUACAAUGACAACCGGAAUCUUGUUGAGGCGGAGUGUUUUUACAAGUUAGAGCCUAUUGAUAGAGUUGAUGUGGAAAUGAUCAAACUUUUGGGCUUGUGCAACUUGGAAUCCAUGCCAGCUGUUCGAAUGCAUCAUCCACUCACAAACUGGGAUCUAAUAGACGUCCCCGUCCAGGUGCGCCUCUUUUUCUCUCUCUCUCAUAAGUCUUAAAUAUAUAAUGGGAAAGAAAUGACUGAGUAAUGUUGUGAUGACUGUGGCAAAUACAUAGGGACUGUAUCAACAUGGUAUAUUCAGCACCUUUUUUGUUAGGAAUGAGGUUCCAGGCCUGUUCAGCUAUAAAAGUACCAAGUCCUCGAUAUCUUUUAUUGUCCCUUUACUACUUGCUAGUCACAGAAUUCGAGGCUUAAACAUCUUUGCUACCUAUGCAAAGGAAAAUUCAAAUAAUUAUUCUACUGGACCUAUUAUUGCUCCAAUAAUGAUCAAAGUGAGAAACAAGAGUAAGGGUCUGAAGUUGAUCUAUGACCCUGAGUUCUACGGAAUUCCAGGUGACGGAGAAAAUAUGAUAUGGUUGAGCCAUUGGAUGAUGGAGAAUAAAACAAUAUUACAAUGUGGAGAUGAAGUGGUGGUUUCGGUAAUAACCGGACCACGUGACAUGUUUUGGGUAAAGGAGUUUGGUGUCGACCUUGUGCAAGAGCACCAAGACAAGAUGAGUACCCAACACAACACCAAAUCCGAUCCUAAUUAUCCAUUUGUUAUCGGUGGAGAUUUGAAGAUGUUUGAGCGCAGACCGGGAAUAUACUUCCUUGGCAAUUAUGCAAGAAAAGAUAUUGAUGACAUUGAUAUCCUCACCAUGGCCUCUGAUGAAGAAGACACAAGUAUGUUGUGUUGUUGUAUAGCAUUGAAUUAUACUCCAUCCAAACACUUCCAUGUGUGGUCCGUAUUCAUUUCAAAAAUGUUUCCAAUAAAUGUUAUGUUAUUUGUAUGUUUUUCAGACAAAGAAAGACAAGAGGAUGAACCUGAUUACACAAUUGCAAAGACGAGGGCUGCUAGCAAUAACUGCAGCUUGAGAGGCUGGAAGGUGCGCCUCACAGCUGUCGGCUUCUUUUUUUCGCUUGCUCUAGUAGGUUGGUCCUCCAUCUCCCAAAAAAAGAAGCGACACUCGUCCACAAGCCCACCAUGAGUUUGUAAUUUGACUUGAUAUAGAUAUAUCUUUGCAUUCCUCUCAGGAUGUUUUCUAUCUUCAAAACUUCAAGUUCGCUAAGCACGCUUAACCGCUUGAGAUAUAAAAGCCCCUUGCAACUAGAUACCAAAGUUAAAAUGUGUUCAAAACAUCAAAUAUAGCAUAAAAUACAUCCAGCAUUAGUUAUACUAGCAGAGUAGCAAUAAAUAAGUAAAACAAAAAAAUGCUUCCACACACGGUAAGGGAUGGACUUUGACAUAGGUAUCUUUAGAGCAAUUCCACCCCUAAGGACUUUGCGUCCGCACCUAGCGCAUUUAUCCACUCAAAUGAACAGUAACAGACUCUAAUGAACAGUAAUAGGCCAAGCAUCUCCACCCCUAAAAAAAUGCGCUGGCACCUAGUAAAAAAAUGCGUUGGCACAAACGAUCUUCAUCCCUACAAAAUGCGCUGGCACCCAGCCCAUUUAAAAUAUUUUUAAAUGUUGUCUAAAAGAAUAAAAAAAUAAAAUAGUUUUAAUUUCGGAUAGGAUUUUUAACUAAUCUCGUCACACCACAUGUCAUUAUCUGAACGUACUAUUUUGUGAAUAGAUUUCCGCUAAGAUUUUCUGUAUUUUUUAAUAAUUUUUAAUGAAUUUUAAUAUAGUUAAUUAAUCUGGACCGUUAGAUUUGAAAAAAUAUUCAAAUCCAAGAGACAGGGAGUUGCCACGUGGCCAACAGUCAUAUUUCUGACCGUUGGGCCUUUUUUUUUUUUUUUUACUUUUUUGUAAAAAAAACGUGGACCGUUGAUCUUUGAUCCGACAGUCUAUUUUAAAAGUAAAAUUUAAAUUUUUUUACCGUUGGAAAUCCAACGGUCUAGAAAAGGGAGCCACGUCGCCAACUCGAGGGGGGGGGGGAAACUGAGUGCGCCACGCGGGCCCGCCUUCUGAAAUCUUGUCGGGCACUCGCGCCAGCACCUCCAUGAAGCGCACGCGCAAGGCAAACUGCCCAGCUUCUUGCUCAGUCUCGUUUGGGCUGGGUACCAGUCAAGUUGAAGGGGUGGACUUGGUUGACAGGGUGCUGGCCUUGUUUUUGUGCUGGAUCCUGGGCAAAUUCCACUGGGGUGGAAUUGCUCUUAGCAAUAACGGGCAAGAUUUUUUUUAGGGAGGGGGAAGGGAUUAUUUUGGCAUCGGGGAAAACAAAAACAUCCUAUCUGCUUAUGAAUGACAAAUUUACAAAUCUUAAUUGUCGUUUACAACAAAAUCAUUCUUAAAGACUCGGCUCCCCAUUGAAAUUGUGUAAAUUGCAUAUAUAACAAUACAACAGAUAUUAGAUAGAAUAAUAUAUAUCAAAUAAUUUAACGAUAGGACUUUACAGUUGGUUCAGCCUUGCAUUGCUACUACGCUACAGAAGCUGGUUUCUGCUUCUUCCACCUGAACAAAUUAUUGAGGUCAGGAAGUAUAGGAGGAACGGCCAUAGUCUCUGGAGCCAAGAAAUUUACUAUCUUCUCAUGAACAUUGUACCUGCAAAAGCAUAAUGCAAUAAGCAUUCAACAAUCUGACCUAGUUUGCUCAACAGAUGCUCUAAGAUAUUCCAAAACAAAGUCACAACAAUUUCACAUAGGGAACCGAAGAAUCAUGUUCAUCCACUCAACACAUCCAAAGCAGCAAACUAACUAGGAUACCAGGUUGGGAGGAUACAAUCAUUAACAAUUUCAAAAGCUUUAAACGCAAUCUGAAUAUAUGGCAAGUAGGGGUAAACAUGUGAACAGAAAAGUCAAAGAACAUAAUCAAAUCGAAUAAGUCAAUUUUGGCCUAGAUUGAAAUGAAAAAAAAAACAAGGAAAUGCUUUGUGUAUCGAUUUGUUUAUGAAGGAAAUAAAUGCUUUGUGUAUCCAUUCGUCUAUCAAUUUGUUUCUGAAAGUGGCUAUUCUACAAGAUACAGCAUGACAGGUCUUAGUUGGACCAAGUAACCGGCAUGGAAAUGCUUUCUGAAGCAAGAAUCUGAACUCAAGAGUUUUGUGCCAGAGAGACUUCAGAAAAAUGAAAAAAACAACAUAGAAUAUGGGUAAGAAUAAACAUCGAUUAGACAAUAAUUCACUGUAUAAAUAAUUUUUUCAACUUUAAAGUGUGGCUUAAAAAGAAGCUUUAAACAAGUAGCAAUAAUUUCAUAUUGAAAAAUAAAACCUAUUUCAUGGAUAUUACAAGAGCCAUUAUUUUGAAAAACACACCUUUUGGUUCUUCACUGCUUGACUUUUAAGAAGUUCUUUGUUCUUGUGACAAUUCAGAUUCUUUAAAAUAUCUCUGCAACGGAAUAAACAAAACCAAUCUAGGCAAAAAUUGACUUGUUCGAUUUGAUUAUGUUCACUGAUUUUUCUGUUCACAUGUUUACCCCUACUUGCCAUAUAGUUUUAGUUUUGGGGUGUUAGCGCAUAGUGCUCUUCUCUUUACACACCAGUUUCAAUUUUAUUCUUCGUAAAUUAAGAGACCGUUUGAUAAUCAUUUCGUUUUCAAUUUUAAAAAAUAUAAAAAACUAAAUAAAGUUUUCAAAAUUUGACCUAGAAUUUUCGCUUUUGGUUUUCAAUUUUAAUUUUUUUUUAAACAACUGAAAACUAAAAAUAGUUACAAAAAGAAUUUUUCAGUUUUUAAUUUACAAAAAAGUAAAAACUGAAAACUCUAUACUAUAGACUAAAAAUUAAAAAGUGAAAUCGAAAUGGGCUCUCAACAAAAUUGAAAAAAGACUGGGCUGAAUUACUGAAUUCAAAGCAGGGCUUAUUAACGUUACGAGGCCCAAUGGAUAUGUAUAAAUAUUUUUCGUUUUUUGUUUAACAAACGAUAUUAUUUAUAUGGGCUUAAUGUUACAGUGAGCUAACAAUAAUGUGGUUCAAAUUUGCUUUUCGUAAGAAUCGAAUCUAAAACUUCUCACUUAGAGAAAUACCUCUAAACCGUAAUCUGAGUGGCUCGUUAUUUUAUUUUAUAUUUUAAGAAAAAAGAAAGAAAGCAAUGAAAAGCUGUACAUAAAAUAAAUACAAAAAGCUAAGAAAUGAAGAAGAGUGGGAGACUAACGUUUAAUUCAAGAUAAAGAAAGAAAGGUAAUCGCAAGACGACGGCGGCGACGUGGCGGUCAUUAAACGGAAAAUAACAGACAAAUCAGCCUCCAGAUCAAGUCUUGAAGCACAACUCUGAAAAAUCGAGACUACCUACAGCUGAGCUCCGACCAACCGUUGAUGGAUGCAAUCCGGAAGCUCAGAGAUCAGGUCGCCAAGCAACAGCAGGUACUCCCUCUCGUUUGAUUCCGAAUUUGUAUUUCUGUAUGGAUUUUGAUAUGAACAUAAUCUGCGUUGAUUGCGAGAUACUGAGAUUGCUUAAUGAAAUAAUAUUUAUAUAAUUGUUCGAGUUGAAUUGGAUCGAUUCGAAUUCAAAUAGAAUUUCACUAUUUCUGAGCUGUUUGGGGAUGUGUUGGAGUGCAAUGUUGAUGAAUUUCUGAAAUUUUGAGCUAGGUGUUGCUAAUUACUUAUCAAUUUUUGAUGUAAUUGGAUGCUUAAUUUUUACAUUUUCGGAAAACUUCAAGCGAAAAUGGCAUAUAAUUCAACGUUCCAUGCUUCAUUAAUGCAUAUGAGUUAGUCGAAGCUUCAUCGAGUUUGCUUUUGAUUAUUUUGUGAACACCGUCAGGCCGUGUUCAAACAAUUUUCUGGUGGCAUAUAUGGGGGAUCGGAUAAUGUUGCCUCGGAUGAAAAUGAAUUUCAACAGCAUCAGAAACUCGAGAAGCUGUACAUAUCAACUCGUGCUGCCAAGGUUGCUACGCUUAUUUUUGUCUGUGCUUUAAACGAGCAUCACGUUAGUUGUGUUACCUAUCGUUUUUUGCUUCUUCUUUAACAGCAUUACCAAAAGGAAAUUGUCCGCGGAGUGGAAGGUUACAUUGUGGCCGGUUCAAAGCACGUUGAAAUAGGUAUGUUGCUUGAAAUGCGUUGUCUUUUCUUGGGAGUUUGGAUAUGAAUUCGUGUUGGUUUUAUCAGCUGGUAUACAUAAUACUUUUUCAACAGGUACGAAGCUAUCAGAAGAUAGCAGGAAAUAUGGUUCUGAAAAGACUUGCACCAGUGGUAACACAUUGUCGAGAGCUGCACUGAGUUUUGGAAGAGCUCGGGCCCAAAUGGAAAAAGAGUGCGGAGUUCUACUUAAAGCCCUUGGCACACAGGUUUAAGUCAAAUUAUUACUAACAAUGGCUCAUUAAGUAAAAAUCAAAUAUUGCCAGGGCCAGUUUCAUACAAAUGGAAUUUCAACUGACUAAUUUUCGUGUGCAUUUGAUCAUUUCGAAAGAAAUUUACAGCAAAAAUUGUUUUCAUUUCCACGUCGUGGUUCAAGAAUUGGACUACUUUUUGUGUUUCUAUGCAUCGUAUGACAAACUGGCUCACCAUUUCUUUCUAUAGGUUUGCAUAAUAACUCUUUGUGUGCUUAUCAAUUUGCCUGUGUAGGUUGCAUAGCCUUUAUAGUGGGAGCGCCCAUGGAGGAUGCUCGACAUCUUGCUCAACGUUAUGCUAGAAUGCGGCAAGAAGCUGAAGCUCAGGUAUAUGCAGUUUCUUCUGUUUCCUACCAAUUUUAUUCUACAGUGAUUUUAUAUCCAAAACAAGCAUUGACUUGGCUGUCCAUCCAUCAAUAGCAGGUCCACAUCUCAACCCAAAUAUAAUGACGUCAAAGGAGAGGGGAAAAUGAGAAGGAAACUCUGGAGGGUAGAGGGAAGGAAAAGGAGAAAAGGAGAAAGGGAGAAGGGAAAAGUAGAACGGGAAGGAGGAAAAUGAGAGGAAAUUUCGGAGAAUAGAGAAAAGGAGAAGGGAAAAGAAGAAAAGCAGAAAAGAAGGGAAAAGGGGAAGGAAGCUUAGGAGGCUAGAGAAAAAGAGGGAAAUGCAUAAAAAUAAAAAAAUAAAAAAGGAAAGUCGCCUUCAUCAUUAUGUCUACUAACGGAAAGGAGCAACCACAUUGUAAAUUAUACUAAAAAUAUGACUUUAACCCCUCAAACUCAAUUUCUUUCAUAUAAAACCCGACAUAACAUUUUUACUCGAAUAAAACCCAAUGACUAGACUUCACAUAAGCAAAUUCAUUAAUUAUGACAUUUUAAAAAUUUCUAAUGCCUAAAAUACCCCUGUUUGCAUGUUUAAUGUGCACAAUUAAACAUAUGCAGAUUUUAAGGAGGAUUAAUGAUUUUACAAAAAUAAAAUAAUAAAAAAGGCACAAAUAUUCUAAAUGCAUUGCAUGUUAUAUGAAUUUGGUUGAUUCAUGUUUCUCUCACUUCAUAAAAUUUGCUUCUAAUUUGAUAUAGGAAUUAAUUUGGAAAGUUUUCUUAAUCUUAAUAACAAUUUUCAAUUUAAAUAUAUUUUUUAAUGAAAUAGUCUAUCUUUUAAAAUAAUUAUCAAUAAAAUAAUGAAAUAGUCUAUCUUUUCAAUUUAAAUAAUGUACCUGUUAUUUAAUUUUUACAACACUAAUGUAUCUUAAAAAAUAAUUUACUUAUUGUUUAGUUUUAGCAAAAAUAAUUUACCUACUGUGUAUAAUUGGUGAAGCUAAUGAUGUACAUAUUGUUUAAUUUUUUAAAAAUUAAUGUAUGUACAAAAAUAAUUUAUCUAUUGUUCAAAUUUUAGGAUAAAAAUUUACAUGUUUUUAUUUAACAAUAAUGUAUCUACAAUUUAUUUUUGUAUGAAUAUAAUUUACCUACUUUUUAAUUUUAUAUGAAACUAAUUUACCUACUGUGUCAGUAAUGUAUCUACAAUUUUACAUACAAUAUUUACCUUCUUUUUUUUUUUCACAACAAUAGUGUAUCUACAAUUUUGUUUUUGUAUGAAUAUAGUUUACCUACAAUUUAACUUUUCAAAAAAUGUAUCUUCUAUUUUAUAGUUUACUAUCAUAUAUAUGUUUAUGUGUUCGCAAAAUAAUUUAUCUAAAGUUAUAUAGUUAAGAGAUAUGCUAAUGAAUUAUAUUAAUUCAUUAUUAGACUGAUAUAAGAAAUUGUUAAAAACGUUAGCCAUAAUGGUUGGCUAAUAAUGGUUGUAUGAGAACAGUUAUAGAAAGUUGUGGCAUAAAUUGUAAAUAACUUAUAUUAAUAGGUUACUUAUUUUCUUAUUUGGUAAUUUAUUUAAAUUUUGGGUUUUGAUUGAAUGUUUAUUCAUAGGUGGGUUUUUAUCUGAAGUAUAUGAGUUGUAUGGGUCUAUAUCUAAACAACCCUAAAUUAUAUUUUGUAUAAUGAGAAACCAGUAUUCCUACCCCGAGGGUAUAGACACAACUUACUAAAUCUCGUUACUAUACAGCAAGCUUAUAAUUGCGCAAUAAUUCGAUCAACCAUCUUAAGUUCAACCAUUCAUGUAACAAGAUUCAAGUUUUCUAAACUUUCCUUAUUAAGGUAACUGAACAUUACAAGUGCCACGUUAUUAUGCGGUUCUAUCAAGUUUUAAUUUUUGUCUCAUAACCACAUCAUCUUUAGGACAAUCAUCUUGUAGUUGAAUAUAUAAACCUUCGAUAUGGCGAUAUUGGAAACGCUUGUUGGUGGGUUGAUUGGUAGAAAUGGUUCCAACAAUUCAAGGAUGAGAAAUGAGCAUUGAGCAACGAACAAAAUAUAUUGUAUUUUAUCACAAAAGAUGUUUGUGCAAUUAAAAGUGCAUUUUAUCACAAAGAGGUGAGCAACGAUCAAUAUAAUUGUUAUUUAUAAAAGGGAACAUUAACAAAAGUUUCCGGUACUGUUUAUUUUAAUAAAAAAUUACAUUUUUACAUUAAAAGUCAAUACUGAUACUAUUUAUUUUACCCUUUAUUUUAUCUUUAUUAUUAAAACUCAAAAUUUUUAAAUUUCUUUUAUUAAUUUUUUUUUUAUAAAAUCACACGUAAAACAAGAAGUAAUCUUUUCUUUUUCUUUUCGUCUCUGCCACAAGCGGCCGACCAUGACUUAAACAAACGCUUUUUGGGUGGGUCAAGGUAUGGGAACGACCCAUUUUAUAUGUUACAUGGUUGUGCAAUUAAAAGUGCAUUGUAUCAUAAAAAGGUGAGCAACGAUCACUAUAAUUGUUAUUUAUAAAAUCACACAAAACACAAGAAGGAAUCUUUUCUUUUUCUUUUUCAUCUCUGCCACUACCAGCCAUGACUUAAAAGAAACGUUUUUUGGUUCAAUGGAUGGGAACGGCCCAUUUUAUAAUAAGGAAAAUUAAUAAAAAAAAAUUUUAAAUUUAAAUUUUAACGAAAAUAAUAAAAAGAUGUUGUAAGUGAAUAAUACAUGAUUGAUUUUUUUGAAUAAAAAAAUAUAUAUUGUUUUAAAUAAACAGUAUUAGGAGUGUUUGGUUCAAAUCCCUUUAUAAUAUUGUUCGUAAAUUUUUCUGGAAGUAGAUGGAAAUGACCCAAUUACAUAUUUCCCCUGCUCACAGACAUUUUCAUUGCACCUAGAAAACCAGUUUUUUGUUAGAAAAUCGAUCCACAUCAAUGGCUCUUGUGAGAACAUCUCCAGGAACCUCCUCUGAUUCCAACACUUUUCGGAGUUAUCGCUACAACGUGUUCUUGAGCUUCAGAGGCGAAGAUACUCGCAAGACUUUUACCGACCACCUCUACACAGCCUUGAACAACGCAGGAUUUCUUACGUUCCGAGACGACGAUGAACUUGAGAGAGGAGAAGAUAUAAAGCCAGGACUGCAGAAAGCGAUCCAGCAGUCACGAACUUCUGUUGUCGUGUUUUCGAAAGAUUACGCUUCAUC